UUGACGGGACCCGCACAAGCGGUGGAUGAUGUGGAUUAAUUCGAUGCAACGCGAAAAACCUUACCUACCCUUGACAUGUCUGGAACCUUGGUGAGAGCCGAGGGUGCCUUCGGGAGCCAGAACACAGGUGCUGCAUGGCUGUCGUCAGCUCGUGUCGUGAGAUGUUGGGUUAAGUCCCGCAACGAGCGCAACCCUUGUCACUAGUUGCCAUCAUUUGGUUGGGCACUCUAGUGAGACUGCCGGUGACAAACCGGAGGAAGGUGGGGAUGACGUCAAGUCCUCAUGGCCCUUAUGGGUAGGGCUUCACACGUCAUACAAUGGUCGGUACAGAGGGUUGCCAAGCCGCGAGGUGGAGCCAAUCCCUUAAAGCCGAUCGUAGUCCGGAUUGUUCUCUGCAACUCGAGAGCAUGAAGUCGGAAUCGCUAGUAAUCGCAGGUCAGCAUACUGCGGUGAAUACGUUCCCGGGUCUU
RNAcentral lists this ribosomal RNA (470 nucleotides) under uncultured Thauera sp. RNAcentral's name for it is "bacterial SSU rRNA". It matches the Rfam family "Bacterial small subunit ribosomal RNA", at positions 910 to 1382 of the family's 1533-position model. The record is from RNAcentral. Lineage: Bacteria; Pseudomonadati; Pseudomonadota; Betaproteobacteria; Rhodocyclales; Zoogloeaceae.